RNAcentral lists this transfer RNA (100 nucleotides) under Xylaria scruposa. RNAcentral's name for it is "tRNA-Ala". It matches the Rfam family "tRNA". From Rfam's summary of the family: Transfer RNA (tRNA) molecules are approximately 80 nucleotides in length. Their secondary structure includes four short double-helical elements and three loops (D, anti-codon, and T loops). The record is from RNAcentral. Lineage: Eukaryota; Fungi; Ascomycota; Sordariomycetes; Xylariales; Xylariaceae.
GGGCGAAUGGUCUAGGGGUAUGAUACUCCCUUCGCAUUUCUACGAAUUAUUAGAACAUCGCGUCUGGGAGGGGUCCGGGGUUCAAUUCCCCGUUCGUCCA